UGGGGAAUUUUCCGCAAUGGGCGAAAGCCCUGACGGAGCAACGCCGCGUGAGGGAUGAAGGCCUCUGGGCUGUAAACCUCUUUUAUCAAGGAAGAAGAUCUGACGGUACUUGAUGAAUAAGCCACGGCUAAUUCCGUGCCAGCAGCCGCGGUAAUACGGGAGUGGCAAGCGUUAUCCGGAAUUAUUGGGCGUAAAGCGUCCGCAGGCGGCCCUUCAAGUCUGCUGUUAAAAAGUGGAGCUUAACUCCAUCAUGGCAGUGGAAACUGUUGGGCUUGAGUGUGGUAGGGGCAGAGGGAAUUCCCGGUGUAGCGGUGAAAUGCGUAGAUAUCGGGAAGAACACCAGUGGCGAAGGCGCUCUGCUGGGCCAUCACUGACGCUCAUGGACGAAAGCCAGGGGAGCGAAAGGGAUUAGAUACCCCUGUAGUCA
Molecule: ribosomal RNA, 427 nt
Filed under: uncultured cyanobacterium
Lineage: Bacteria; Bacillati; Cyanobacteriota
Description: bacterial SSU rRNA
Rfam family: Bacterial small subunit ribosomal RNA
Source: RNAcentral